Molecule: ribosomal RNA, 447 nt
Filed under: uncultured bacterium
Lineage: Bacteria
Description: bacterial SSU rRNA
Rfam family: Bacterial small subunit ribosomal RNA
Source: RNAcentral
UGGGGAAUAUUGGACAAUGGGCGCAAGCCUGAUCCAGCCAUGCCGCGUGGAUGAUGAAGGCCCUAGGGUUGUAAAGUCCUUUCGACGGGGAAGAUAAUGACGGUACCCGUAGAAGAAGCCCCGGCUAACUUCGUGCCAGCAGCCGCGGUAAUACGAAGGGGGCUAGCGUUGCUCGGAAUCACUGGGCGUAAAGCGCACGUAGGCGGACUCUUAAGUCGGUGGUGAAAUCCUGGAGCUCAACUCCAGAACUGCCUUCGAUACUGAGAGUCUCGAGUCCGAGAGAGGUGAGUGGAACUGCGAGUGUAGAGGUGAAAUUCGUAGAUAUUCGCAAGAACACCAGUGGCGAAGGCGGCUCACUGGCUCGGUACUGACGCUGAGGUGCGAAAGCGUGGGGAGCAAACAGGAUUAGAUACCCCGGUAGUCCCUGAGCGGGCUGGCAAGGCGCAU